AUUGAACGCUGGCGGCAGGCUUAACACAUGCAAGUCGAGCGGGGUGAUGGUGCUUGCACUAUCACUUAGCGGCGGACGGGUGAGUAAUGCUUAGGAAUCUGCCUAUUAGUGGGGGACAACAUCUCGAAAGGGAUGCUAAUACCGCAUCCGUCCUCCGGGAGAAAGAAGGGGAUCACUUGUGACCUUGCGUUAAUAGAUGAGCCUAAGUCGGAUUAGCUAGUUGGUGGGGUAAAGGCCUACCAAGGCGACGGUCUGUAGCGGGUCUGAGAGGGUGAUCCGCCAAACUGGGACUGGGACACGGCCCAGACUCCUACGGGAGGCAGCAGGGGGGAAUAUUGGACAAUGGGGGGAACCCUGAUCCAGCCAUGCCGCGUGUGUGAAGAAGGCCUUAUGGUUGUAAAGCACUUUAAGCGAGGAGGAGGCUCUUUUGGUUAAUACCCAAGAUGAGUGGACGUUACUCGCAGAAUAAGCACCGGCUAACUCUGUGCCAGCCGCCGCAGUAA
This 503-nucleotide ribosomal RNA is filed under the name uncultured bacterium. Its description in RNAcentral is "partial 16S ribosomal RNA". It matches the Rfam family "Bacterial small subunit ribosomal RNA", at positions 30 to 523 of the family's 1533-position model. The record is from RNAcentral.